UGCCAGACUCCUACGGGAGGCAGCAGUGGGGGAUAUUGCACAGUGGGGGGAACCCUGAUGCAGCGACGCCGCGUGGGUGAAGGAGCGUUUCGGCGCGUAAAGCCCUAUCGGCAGGGAAGAAGGAGGACGGUACCUGACUAAGAAGCCCCGGCUAACUACGUGCCAGCAGCCGCGGUAAUACGUAGGGGGCAAGCGUUAUCCGGAUUUACUGGGUGUAAAGGGGGCGCAGACGGCAGCGCAAGCCAGGAGUGAAAGCCCGGGGCCCAGCCCCGGGACUGCUCUUGGAACUGCGCGGCUGGAGUGCAGGAGGGGCAGGCGGAAUUCCUGGUGUAGCGGUGAAAUGCGUAGAUAUCAGGAGGAACACCGGUGGCGAAGGCGGCCUGCUGGACUGCGACUGACGUUGAGGCCCGAAAGCGUGGGGAGCGAACAGGAUUAGAUACCCCGGUA
This 447-nucleotide ribosomal RNA is filed under the name uncultured bacterium. RNAcentral describes it as "partial 16S ribosomal RNA". It matches the Rfam family "Bacterial small subunit ribosomal RNA", at positions 329 to 792 of the family's 1533-position model. The record is from RNAcentral.